This 2741-nucleotide ribosomal RNA is filed under the name Alphaproteobacteria bacterium. RNAcentral's name for it is "23S ribosomal RNA". It matches the Rfam family "Bacterial large subunit ribosomal RNA". The record is from RNAcentral. Lineage: Bacteria; Pseudomonadati; Pseudomonadota; Alphaproteobacteria.
AAUUAAGUAGUAUAAGAGCAUUUGGUGGAUGCCUUGGCGCUAACAGGCGAUGAAGGACGUAACAUGCUGCGAUAAGCUGCGGGGAGCUGCAAGUGAGCUUUGAUCCGCGGAUUUCCGAAUGGGGAAACCCACCCUUAGGGGUAUCCUGUACUGAAUACAUAGGUACCGGAGGCAAACCUGGUGAACUGAAAUAUCUAAGUAGCCAGAGGAAAAGACAUCAACCGAGAUUCCGCUAGUAGUGACGAGCGAACGCGGACCAGGCCAGUGGUGCAAUUGUUUUAACUAGAACAUGUCUGGAAAGUCGGACCAUAGUGGGUGAUAGUCCCGUAUAGGUAAGAAACGAUUGCAUCCUUGAGUAAGGCGGGACACGUGAAAUCCUGUCUGAACAUGGGGGGACCACCCUCCAAGCCUAAAUACUCGUUAGCGACCGAUAGUGAACAAGUACCGUGAGGGAAAGGUGAAAAGCACCCCGACAAGGGGAGUGAAACAGCACCUGAAACCGAAUGCUUACAAACAGUUGGAGCGUCCUUGCGACGUGACAGCGUACCUCUUGUAUAAUGGGUCAGCGACUUAGUGUAUGCAGCAAGCUUAAGACGAUAGUUGUAGGCGUAGCGAAAGCGAGUCUGAAUAGGGCGACAUAGUUGCAUGCAUUAGACCCGAAACCGGGUGAUCUAGCCAUGGCCAGGUUGAAGGUGCAGUAACAUGCACUGAAGGACCGAACCCACUUCUGUUGAAAAAGAAGGGGAUGAGCUGUGGUUAGGGGUGAAAGGCUAAUCAAACUCGGAAAUAGCUGGUUCUCCGCGAAAUCUAUUUAGGUAGAGCGUCGCGAGAUUGCCAUCGGGGGUAGAGCACUGGAUGGGCUAGGGGGACCCAAAGUCUUACCAAACCUAACCAAACUCCGAAUACCGAUGAGUAUAUCGCGGCAGACAGACGGCGGGUGCUAAGGUCCGUCGUCGAGAGGGAAACAGCCCAGACCACCAUCUAAGGUCCCCAAGUCUUGGCUAAGUGGGAAAGGAUGUGGGACAGCCAUAACAACCAGGAGGUUGGCUUAGAAGCAGCCAUCCUUUAAAGAAAGCGUAAUAGCUCACUGGUCUAAUAGCCGUCCUGCGCCGAAAAUGUAUCGGGGCUCAAGCCAAGCACCGAAGAUGUGGACUCCUAGCAAUAGGAGUGGUAGCGGAGCGUUCUGUAAGCCUGCGAAGGUGCACCGUCAGGUGUGCUGGAGGUAUCAGAAGUGAGAAUGCUGACAUGAGUAACGAAACAAGCGUGAGAAACGCUUGCACCGAAAAUCCAAGGGUUCCUGCGUAAAGUUAAUCUGCGCAGGGUUAGCCGGCUCCUAAGGCGAGGCCGAAAGGCGUAGUCGAUGGAAAUCACGUUAAUAUUCGUGAGCCUGCUGGAAGUGACGGAGGGCGAAAGUUGUAGAAGAUUAUUGGAUUUCUUCUGCAGCCUGGCACUCCCAGGAAAUAGCUCCAGCGUAUAGGCCGUACCCUAAACCGACACAGGUGGAUUGGUAGAGUAUACCAAGGUGUUUGAGAGAACUAUGCUGAAGGAACUAGGCAAAUUACACCUGUAACUUCGGGAUAAGGGUGGCCCGUCUAUAGGCAACUAUUGGCGGGUGGCACAAACUAGGGGGUAGCGACUGUUUAGUAAAAACACAGGGCUCUGCGAAGCCGCUAAGGCGACGUAUAGGGUCUGAUGCCUGCCCGGUGCUGGAAGGUUAAGAGGAGAGGUGCAAGCUUUGAAUCGAAGCCCCAGUAAACGGCGGCCGUAACUAUAACGGUCCUAAGGUAGCGAAAUUCCUUGUCGGGUAAGUUCCGACCCGCACGAAUGGCAUAACGACUUCCCCACUGUCUCCAGCAUAGACUCAGUGAAAUUGGAUUCCCCGUGAAGAUACGGGGUUCCCGCGGUUAGACGGAAAGACCCUGUGCACCUUUACUAUAACUUUGCAGUGGUAUUAGAAGUUGAAUGUGUAGGAUAGGUGGGAGGCUACGAAGCCUUGGCGCAAGCCGAAGUGGAGCCAACCUUGAAAUACCACCCUUUCAAUUUUUGAUAUCUAACUGAGUCCCGUUAUCCGGGACCAGGACCCUGCAUGGUGGGUAGUUUGACUGGGGCGGUCGCCUCCCAAAAAGUAACGGAGGCGCGCGAUGGUAAGCUCAAGCUGGUCGGAAAUCAGCUGUAGAGUGCAAUGGCAUAAGCUUGCCUGACUGCGAGACAAACAAGUCGAGCAGAGACGAAAGUCGGUCAUAGUGAUCCGGUGGUUCAGUGUGGAACGGCCAUCGCUCAACGGAUAAAAGGUACGCCAGGGAUAACAGGCUGAUGAUUCCCAAGAGUCCAUAUCGACGGAAUCGUUUGGCACCUCGAUGUCGGCUCAUCACAUCCUGGGGCUGGAGCAGGUCCCAAGGGUUCGGCUGUUCGCCGAUUAAAGUGGUACGUGAGCUGGGUUUAGAACGUCGUGAGACAGUUCGGUCCCUAUCUGCCGUGGGUGUAGGAAAAUUGAGAGGAUCUGACCUUAGUACGAGAGGACCGGGUUGGACGUACCUCUGGUGUACCAGUUGUCGCGCCAGCGGCAUGGCUGGGUAGCUAUGUACGGAAGGGAUAACCGCUGAAAGCAUCUAAGCGGGAAACCCACCUCAAAACAAAUUUUCCCUGAGAGUCGUGGUAGACCACCACGUUGAUAGGCCGCAUGUGUAAGCGCAGCAAUGCGUUCAGCUAAGCGGUACUAAUAACUCGAUAGGCUUAACUUU